UGGAACUCUUCCAGCGAAGCUCUAACCUUAACUGACAAGAAAGUUUGGCAAAGCUCUCAUUAUGCGAAUUUUCCAGAAAUAAUUGAAGAUGGAGAUGCGGGCGAGUUUACCCAUGAAUCAGUGACUGAUGAUGCUGAUAUUCCAGGUUCAGUUGCUGGUCUUGUGUACAGGCGACGUGAUUGAACAAAGUGGGUUGUUGCCUGGAGCAACCCACUAGAUGAGAACAACAAGGUAUAUAUUAAAUUCAAUUCAAUCUUAUCAUUAAUUAACUAGUUAGAAUGCGUAUAUAUAAUCAUUUAAUCUAUGAUUAUUGCAUGCAUGCUGCAGGUCUAUACUGAUAUCCAAAGGCAACCUAUUCACUGUGGGCAAAUCAACACCAACAUUGAGAAAAGAGGAAAACCAAAAUUUAAAAUUACAAAGUUUGGGUACAAUGUACCUAUUAAAAUUGAUGCCGGGAGCCGUUCACCCACAAUUAAGGCAUCAUUUGAGUUAGAGGCAUAACUGCCUUUUGCUUCUUCAUCAAGCUGUGCUGGUAAUCAAGGCUAUCAAAAUUAAAUAAUAAUGUGCUGCCUGCAGCUGCAUUACCUGUACUACUAUGAUAGUAAUAAAUUUUGAUAGCCAAUAUAACCAUUAGAAAGUGUGUAGGCCUUCACAAUCAUGUCAGUGCCAUGUAUAUAUACAUGGUUGACUAUUUGUAUAAUAUUAUGGAAAAAUAAAAUAGAAUGACCUUUACUAUUUUAUCUUUUGACUCAAUUUAUACUUUAUAUUUUCUCCAACUUCCUCAUCGACCCAUCAAGUCAUCAAACUACAAACCAGGAACCAUAACAUAGAAAACUUGACAACAAAUAAACUCCCACCAGCAAACCAUGUUUCCAGCAGCACAAUAAAACAUAACUAGCAUGCCAGCAACUCGAUACAUUACCAGUAGCAGCAACAACCACCAAGUUUUAAAGCAUGCGAGAUUGGUAAAAGUCAGCAAUGGUCAAGGCAUCUGUUACACAUUCUACCUGACGCUUUGACAAUGCAGACAUCACCAAUAGCUUAAUUCAAAUCAUCAAUGUGAGCACAACUUUCUUGUAGAAUCCAUGGACAAUGGAGCUAAUAGCAACCCAAAAGUAAACAGGACAACUUUUUCGCUGAGAUAUCUAAUCUCGUGGUACAGGAUGGUUGAGGUUAAGGCUUAGAUGGUUGUGGAUUGACCUUGUUUGAUUACGGUAAGAUUGUCUUGGGAAAGCAUCUCUCGCAAUUGAGCUGGAGCCUUGGUUUCUAUAAGUCCAUUUUAAAAGCUUCUUAAAUAACAUACUGAAAAAUAGAUAAAGAAAAGAGAGUAAAAAAGGUACGCUGGGAGCCCCAGGAUAGUUAUCCCCAUAAAAACACAAGAACCAGAUCAAAACUUGCCCAAACAUGUAAAAGCAAAAGAACUACAAAACAAAAUCAAACCCACUAUUAGAACUUACAGUAUAAAAGAUCCCACAACGCCAUAAACAUUAUAUGAUCAACUGUCAUUCAGGCGUCAUCCACCUCAAAAGCCUCCUAAACAACAUACCGAAGAAAGAUAAAAGAAAAGAGUAGAGAGUUUAAAAGGUACCAUUUCAUACAGGAUAAGGUUUUCUCUCUGUAAUAGACUAAGUAAUUUAAAGUGAAAAAAAUGUAAAAUCAUUGAUGAAGUUAACAUGGAUUGUUAGAAAGUAAUGAUUUGGCAGUUAAAUUCUUUAAGAAGCUGUGAGAUUAUGGGGUGUGUUAUUUGUUUGAUGAGUUUUGCUAACUACAAUUGUUUGCUUAAUAUGAAAACAAUUAAUGAAAGUGCUACACUAAAGUGAUCAUUAUUGCUUGGCACUUGAAUAAUUGUGCAAAUGAAAACACAAAAAAUAUCAAGAUUUAUUUACGUAGUUUAGUCAGUGAGCAAUUCCACUAUCUUUAAUCACAAAUGCAAAAGGUGAUUCACACUCUAUUAGUCCCCAAGCAUAGAGAUCUCACUUUUAUCCCUAAAAAAUUAGAACACUCACCUCCAAAAUAGCCAUAGCAUGCAUGGCAUAACCAGGCAGAGUGCACGCGUGCGUAGUAGGGGACUAGGGGCAAGUAGGGCUAGCGCCACGACUCACACCCCCUUGCAAGCCUUGCACAAAUGCAACAGCUUCGGUUCCUUAGUUUGGGGAAGCUUUUAUCUAUUUUUAUAUUCGUUUGAUGUGAAACUUUAAAUUUUUCAUUCGAUCAAAAUUUUGCACAUCACGACAAAGUUGGAUCUUAGAAAAAUAUUGUUCAAACGUUCGAAAACUAGAAAAGUUCAAGAUCCAAAAUAUGCAUUGUGAAAAAAUUUGUAAUCUUUUACAAAUUUUCUUUUUCUAAAAUGGAGUCAUGAAAAUUUUUAGCUGUUUAGAGUUGAUUUUAUUUCUCAUUAUGAAUUAGAUAUUGAUUUUAUUAUGUUUAAUUGAAUGUUGAUAAAAUUGAUUAGCAUGUCAUGCAUAUAUGAUGAAGCAUGUUACAGAUUAUAAAAGAAUGUCACUUGAUCUUAUUUGCAUAUUUAAUCUUUCAUAUAUGAAAUUAGAAUUUAAAACUUUACAUGUUUUUGGGAUAGUAUAAUAAUACUUUGAGCCAGUUUUAACCCAUAGCCUCUAUUAAUGGUAUCUAAGGGAUAGUAUAAUAAUACUUUGAGCCAGUUUUAAUCUGGCUGCAUCCUAUGAUAAGUAUUAUCAUGUGGAUCACAGGAUGAGAUUUUCUUUAAAAGGAUAACAAGUCAUAUAUGAUUCUUAUUAAGAUUAUCUCAUGAUAACUCGAGAAUAUAUUUAUAAUGGUUGUUAAGUUAAUUGUUAUACACUCAAAUUACAUUAGUUAAAUAGCUUCCCGCAAGGCUAUAUUUAAGUUAAAAUAAUGACAAAUGUGAAACCACUAUUAAUAACACAAGUUAUACAUGUAGUUCGGUUUCUAUAUAUUUGAGGAAUCUAAUUGAGUGAUUAAAUCUACUAUCUUUAGUCCUAAUGCAAAAAGUGAUUUAAUACCUAUUACACUCCAGUGUAGCAAACUCACUUUUUUAACUAAAGAUCUAAAUCACCCACCUCUAAGUUCCUCCUCAAAAAUUUAGUCUAAAAACUUCUUUGCAGUAUCAAUUACAAGUCUCUCCAAUCAAUUCCCCUAUAAAACUGUAGUUAAAAUAAUAUAUACAAUAUAAUAACAAAGUCCAAGGUAAUUUGUAGAUACUAGAAAAAAAUAUUCAAGAACUCUCGAUCCAAUCUUAUUUAAAGGGAUCUGAAUGCUUGAUCCAAUCCAAUCCAAUCCAAUUUAAUAUUGAAGAUAUGUUUCUCCAUUUAAACGGUCUUCAAAGAUGCUUCCAAACAUCCAAGAAAUCAUCUAAGUCAUUGCUUGACUGAUUUUGUUGAAAAGAUUAAAACUCCAAAUAAUGCAAGUCAUAUUGUCUGACGCAAUGCUAAAGCAUCUUGGAUUUUAAGUGAAUCUAUUUUCAUAACUCGGGUUUUCUUAUGCCUGUUUAUGUAGAAAAUUGAUUAAUAUUUGGAGAAAUAAAACAAAGAAAAUGAUGUAGAAUAUAAUGGAGAAGAGAAAUAAAUUUUGUAUGGAAGAGAGAAACACCCUUUCUAAUAAACUUUUCUUUUUUAUUUCACACACUCUACAAAUGCUUCAUCACAUACAACUCUUUAUAUAGGAGUUGUAAGUGACUAUUCAUCUACAUCACUUAAAUGCUAUAGGAGUUGUGACUAUUCAUCUACAUGCAUGUGUGUAACUCUUCAUCUUCAAGUCUCUUCAUAUUUCUAACUCUUCAUAAUUUAUUUUGUGCAAGAUUAAUUUAAUUAUGUGCCAACAAUGCCUCCCUUAAAUUAAACUUGCUUCGAACUCCCAACCUUUCAACAUUUUUCUUGAAGACUUGUCCACUAAGCGGCUUUGUGAAGUUAUCAGUGAUCUGAUCUUCCGUCUUGCAAUAUUUAACUUGAACAUCACCAUCAUUUACCAGUUCCCUCAAGAAGUGAUAUCGAAUGCAAAUGAGUUUAGUCCUUCUAUGAAGAACUGGAUCCUUUGUGACCGAAAUAGUAGAACUAUUGUCACAAAACAAAAUCGUUGACUUGUUCUGCUUCUGCUUAAGACUCUCCAAAAUUCCAUGUAACCAAAUCAAUUGACAUCUUGUAUAAGAUGCAAUGAUAUAUUCAGCUUCUGUAGUCGAAAGAGCCACAAAUGAUUGUUUCUUUGAGCUCCAUGAAUCUGCACCACUACCAAGGUGAAAAACAUAACCAGAAGUGCUUCUGCUAUCAUUAAUGUUUCCUUCUAAAUCACUAUUUGUAUAACCAAUGAGAUCAACUAAUGUAUUAGCUUUAUAGAAAAUUCCAUAAUCAAUGGUUCCCUUCACAUAUCUCAAUAUUCUCUUAGCAGCCUCCAAGUGAUUGGAGUAAGGUUUCUCCAUGAAUCUACUCACCAAGCUAACAACAUACACGAUGUCAGGCCUUGUCGAAGUCAGAUACAUAAACUUUCCAACCAAACUUCUGAAUAUGAUGGAAUUGACAAGCUUUCCUUCACCCUCUUUAGAUAACUUCAGACCUUUGAUGCAUGGAGUAGAGAUUGGAUUAGCAUUUUCCAUCUUGAACUUUUUUAGAACUUCCUUUGCGUAGCUCUCUUGUGAAAUAAAAAUUCCUUUCUCGGAUUGAUAAACUUCAAUGCCAAGAAAAUGAUGAAGUUCUCCCAAAUUUGUCAUCUGAAAUUCUGCCAUUAUUGAGUGCUAAAAUUCUUUCAACAUAUUCACAUCAUUUCCUGUGAAAAUAAGAUCAUUAACGUAGAUACUUAAAACCAUGAAUCUUCCUUGAGAAUUGCCUUUGAUGAGUAUGCUCAUAUGGACAUUUCUGGAAUCCACACUUUUGAAAAUAAGAAUCGAUGCGGCUGUACCAAGCUCGAGGUGAUUGCUUCAACUCAUACAAAGCUUUGUUCAACUUGUAAACUUUUUCUUCUUCUCAUUUUUUGACAAACCCUGGUGGUUGAUCAACAUAGACUUCUUCUUUGAGAACACCAUUAAAAAAUGCAGAUUUUACGUCCAUUUGGAAUAUUUUUCAAUUGUUUUGGGCGGCAAGAGAAAUAAGUAACCAGACUGUCUCAAGUCUUGAAACUGGAGCAAGUACUUCUAUAAAAUCUUCUCUUUCCUUUUACUUGCAUCCUUUUGCAACCAGUCUUGCCUUGUACUUGUUGAUAGAGCCAUUUGGAUUCAUCUUUUUCUUGUACACCCAUUUGACUCUAAUAGAAUUCUUGUGUGGCGGCAAAUCUAUGAGCUCCCAUGUAUCAUUGUUUUCAAUUGAGCAAAUCUCUUCUUUCAUGGCUUUCCUCCAUAUUUCUUCUUGAUAUGCAUCAUCAAAAGAAAUUGGAUCUUUUCCUGCAAAGAAGGCAAAGAAUACGACAUCAUUUUGCACAACUUCAUCAGUUACAUCAUAUAACUCUUGGAUACUUCUCGUUUUUCGGAUCGGGCUGAAUGAAGAAGAAUUUGAUGAAGAACUUGGGGAAGCAAGAGGAUUUGCUGCUUGAGCAACAUCUUUAACAUUCUCAAUUACUACCUCUUCUUCUUCUUCUAGUUCAAAAGGAAAAAUUGGCAAAUUCUCUUUUCUAACUUCCGUAUAUUUAAACAUGGAAUUUUCAUCAAACAAAACAUCUUGACUUAUCACAAUCUUCUUUGCCAUUGGAUUGUACAACUUGUAUGCCUUACUUCUUUCACUAUAGCCAAUGAAAAUACAAUUCUCUGACUCGUUAUCCAACUUGCUUCUCAUUGCAUCUGGAAUAUGAGAGUAAGCAACACUCCCAAAUACUCUAAGAUAACGAACACUAGGCUUUGUACCAUACCAUGCCUCAUGUGGCAUGCAAUUCUCCAAGCUUCUUGUCGGCGACCUGUUGAUAAGAUAAACUGCACAAGAAACAACUUCAGCACAAAAUCUUCUUGAUAACCUCUUCUUCUUAAGAAAACAUCUAGCCAUCUCCAUAAUUGUUUUGUUCUUUCUUUCACACACACUUUUUUUGCUGAGUUGUAUGGCAGAUUGUUAUUUCAUGCUGAAUGCCACUGUCUCUGCAAUAUUUCUCAAUUUAUUUUGAAAAAUAUUCACCUCUAUGAUCUGUCCGCAAGGUGUUAAUUUUUAGCCCAGUAAAGUUCUUCACUUCUGCCUUGAAAUCUUUGAAUCUCUGGAAAGCCUCUGGUUUUUCUUUGACAUAAUACACCCAUAACUUUCUUGAGUAAUCAUUAAUGAAAGAGAUAAAGUAACAAUUACCUCCCAAAGAUGAAACUGUCAUUGGACCACAAAGAUCCGAGUGAAUAAGUUGCAAUGGUCUUCUUGCUUUCCAUGAGGAUUGAGAAGGAAAAGCAAUUCUGUGUUGCUUUCCAAGCUGACAAGCUUCACAAACAUCGUCAAGCCGAUCGAUCUUUGGUAAACCUCUGACCAUCAUCUUUCUUGAAAGCAGCUCCAAAUUUCCAUAGUUCAAAUGUUCAUAUCUAUCAUGCCAUAACUUUGAAACUCCUUUAUGAGCACUAAUAAAACAAGACGUCUUCUGAUUUUGAAGGGUGAGAGAGAAAAGAUUAUUUGAUGCUACUCCAACUCUAGCAACAACCUGAUUUUUCCUUGACAAGUAACAAGCCAUGUCACGGAAAUGAAUAUCAUGCCCCUUCUUCAAGAGAUGCCUAACGCUAAGCAGAUUAUUUUUAAGACCAGGAACAAAAUAAACUUCAGACAUUUUCUCAACCCUUCCUUACUUUGUUUUCCAACUCCAACUCACCAACACCGCUAACUUUGUAAGCUUUGCCAUCUCCUACUUUUACUUCUCCACAAUCAGAUUCAAAUAACUUUGAGAAUAAAUUUUUGUUACCUAUCAUAUGCUUGCUAGCACCACUGUCUAUGUGUAACACCCCUUACCCGAGACCAUUGCUGGAGUCGAGCACGAGGCGUCAUCUAACUUAACUUACCAAUUCGGAGCAUAAAAAAAAUUGCCUUUAAAAUUAAUUUCACUGUUCACAACAAAACUGUCCACCUACGUGAUUGUCACUAAUUUAAUUAUAACUCUAGUUAAAAAACUCAUAAUUUAAAUCUGUAAAUUUUCCCUAAAACUAGACUCAUAUUCCUAUUUACCAUAAAAUUUUCAGAAUUUUUGGUUUGGUCAAUUAGUACUGUUUAUUCAUUAAAGUUUCCACUGUUUCCCUACUCUACAGUUCUGACCUCUUGGAAAUAAAAAUCAAUUAUCUAAUUGUACAGAAUUCAUAUAAUGUUAUCGUUUGUUUAUUUUGAAAAUAGACUCAUUAAGGAAUCUAUACAUAUAAAUUAUGAACCAUAAUCAUUUCUGUACAAUUUAUAAUGAUUUUCUAAAGUCAGAACAGGGGACUUCAAAAACCAUUCUAACCCUAUCUCACUAAAAUUCAAAUAUCUCAAAAUAUAAAAUUCCUUUUCUUACACCGUUUCUUUUACAUAAAAAUAGACUUGAUAAUAUUUAAUCGUAUAUCUCAUUCAGUCUCUAAUUCCAUUUCUACUAUUUUUGGUGAUUUUUUAAAUUCACGUCACUGCUGCUGUCCAAAAACUGCUUCUUUAUAUUAGAUACCAUUUAAACAUACAUAACACCGAAACAUAUUCUUUACUAACCAUUUCAAUAGCUAAUCUUAGCCAUAUCAUUUGAACAUACUCAAAAUGAUUAAGACUCUAUACAUGCCAUAGCUUUAAACAUUUUGAAAACACAUAAUAUCAAGGUGGCUGUGAUAGUGUGAUACAAGCUCCGACGAUCCCCAAUUCGAGCAAGCUCAAAACACUCGGAUGCAAAACGACUAUUUUUGUAAAUUAGUCGAUAACCUUCUCUUUUCCCCGAUCACUUCCACUAUUUCUUCUUUCUUGAUAAUUGAGCUUAGAAAAAUCAAGAACCCUAGCUUAUAGAACAUGAAAGUUUCGGCAACAACUCUUUAAUAUUUUGAAGAAAUGGACAUUUAUUUUCACUUUAUUUUGUUUUUUAUUCACUUUUGACAAAAAUACCCUUGACCCAUUUACUUAGAUAUUUUUCUAGAAUUACCCUUUUGAGUCCAUAACACUAAUUUAUGGUCUAUUUUCCACAUAAACACUUCCAAUUUCAUGCAAUAAUUCAAUUAAGUCAUUUAAUCACUAAUUAGACACACUUUGCAUUUUUCUCAAUUUAGUCCUAAAAAAUCAAUUAGGCACUAAAUCAUUAAAAUUUCCUAUCCAUAUUUUCAUACAAUAUUUCAAUCAAUCAGUAAUUAAUAAAAAUUUAUAAAAUUAAACUAUUUCACUUCGGAUUUGUGGUUAUAAAACCACUAUUUCGAUUAGGCCCUAUUUCAGGCUAUCACACUAUGUACCAGACAUCAUCAAUCUCUCCACCAUGAGACACGAGCAACAAAGUUUCUUGCUUUUCCUCUUGAUAAUUUUGCACUAUAUUAGCUUCAUCUUUCUCUUCUUUCUUAUACCAGCAUUCACUCGCCAAAUGACUAGGUUUGUGACAAUGAUAACAUUUAAAUUAGCCACGACCUCUUCCUCUUUGAUUUCCAUGUCCACGUCCUCUUUGUGAACCUCUAAAAUUCUAAUUUUGGUUGGCUUCUUUCCAUCCAUUCUCCGUGCUUGCAUCUUCACCUCUUCCACGAGCAUUUCAGCCUCUUCCUUUAAAGUUUCUUCCUCUUCUACGACCACGAUCUCUCCCUCUUUGAUUUUUAAAAUCUUCCUUCUUCUCAUUUAGAGACAACUUUGACUGGAGUGCUUGAUCUAGAUUUACUUCCUUCUUCUUCUUGUUUAAUCUUUCUUCAUGGGCUUGCAACGAGCCUGUGAGUUCAUCAAUGGUCAUGGUACUCAAGUCCUUUGAUUCUUCAAUGGCUACCACAAUGUAGUCAAAUCUAGAAUCCAAAGAACGGAGGAUUUCCUCAACAACACGAAUAUCAUCCAUAGUUUCACCAUUUCUUUUUAAUUGGUUGACUAUGGACAAAACUCAUGAAUAGUAAUCAGAAACAGAUUCUGACUCUGUUUUUUGUAAUCUUUCAAACUCCCCUCGAAGAGUUUGCAACCAAACUCUUUUCACCUUUUCAUCUCCUUUGAAUGAAUUCUGUAAAAUCUCCCAUGCUUGUUUUGCCAAGGUGGCACAAGUGAUUUUUUCCCAAUCUGCUUCAUAUGAUUGAACUCUUUGAUAUAUCCAAAAUAAGGCUUGUUGAUUUUUCUUCCUUGAUUUUCUUAGACUCUCUUUUUGAGCUUGUGUUAAUCCUUCCUCCUCUUCAGCCUCAACUUCAUUAUAACCUUUUUCAACAAUCUCCCAUUCUUCUAGAUAUCCAAGAAGAGCCUUCAUUUGGAUACUCCAUUUGCCAUAAUUUUCUUUGGUUAAUUAGGGAACGGAAGAAAGAGAAAUAGAAUUGUUCAUGUCGAUCAAACUUUGCUCUGAUACCAACUUGUAGAAGAUUGAUUAAUAUUUGGAGAAAUAAAACAAAGAAAAUGAUGAAGAAUAUAAUGGAGAAGAGAAAUAAAUUUUGUAUGGAAGAGAGAAACACCCUUUCUAAUAAACUUUUCUUUUUUAUUUCACAUACUCUACAAAUGCUUCAUCACAUACAACUCUUUAUAUAGGAGUUGUAAGUGACUAUUCAUCCACAUCACUUAAAUGCUAUAGGAGUUGUGACUAUUCAUCUACAUGCAUGUGUGUAACUCUUCAUCUUCAAGUCUCUUCGCAUUUCUAACUCUUCAUAAUUUAUUUUGUGCAAGAUUAAUUUAACUAUGUGCCAACAAUUUAAGGGUUCUAAAGCAUCUUGGGUCUGGAGUAGCAUUAUUGAAGGCAAGGAUUUUCUUAAAGGAACGUUGUUAUGGAAAAUUCAAAACGGAGAAUCUGUUCACAUAUGGGAGGACAGAUGGUUGAGGGGCAAUUGAGCCUCUUUCUUAUCCUGGACAGGUGGAUGAACCAUUACCAAUACUAGCAGCUGAAAUCAUAUGUAAAGAGCGUGAAUGCUGGAAUUUGGCUGCAAUCUCAAAGUGGCUAAACAACAGAGAAAUUGCUGAAAUCCACCAAAUUCCGGUGUAUAAUACUAAGGAGCAAGACAGGUUGGUUUGGCCAUAUAAUAUACAAUAGGGCAAUAUUCUGUUAAGUCCGGUUAUAAAGAGCUGAAGAAGCAAUCUGGUAAUGUGCUUACUUCUAAACCCUCUAGUUCCUAUGUGAUUGAGGUUUGUACCUAGAAAUUUAUAUGGAAACUACAGGUCCCUAGCAAAAUAAAGAUUUUUAUUUGCAAACUGUGUCAUAAUGCUAUUCCUUCAUGGCUUAAUCUUUGGAAAAGAAAGUGUGCGCAAAACUCAACUUGCUCGAUUUUUCAAGAGGAAGUGAAUCUGUUGAACAUCUUAUUUUGGGGUAUGAUUGGGUUAGGGGCGUUUGGUUUGAAGUAUGCUCUGGAUUGAAGAUCAAAAGGGAGGAUAUCAAGUCGUUUGAUGUGAAGUAAAUUUGGGAAUAGGAGUAUGAUGGUUAAGCUUGUAUAUACUUGCUCGUACAUUUGGAAGGUUAGAUGUGAAGUGGUUCUUGGAGGGAAAACUCUGGAUGUUGGACAGACCAUUCGAAGGAUCAAAUUGUCAUCUCAGGAGUUUCUUAAAGUUCAAGAGCAAAAGGUUGAAUGUGGUCCAUUAUUUGGUAGUAAAGAAUUACUGUUGAUUAUAAUUGGAUGAAUCCUCCUGAGAAUUGGAUUAAAAUAAAUUGUGAUGCAAGCUUUAAAGAAGAAUCUGAGAUGGCUAGGAUUGGGGUAAUUGGAAGAGAUUGGACUGGUUCGAUGAUUGAUGGGAUUGAGAAAGAAUUGAAGGUUUGUUCUGCAGAAGCUGCUGAAGCAUGGCCAGUUUUAACAGGGAUUGAGCUUGCAGUGAAGAAUCGAUGGGCUAAAAUUAUUAUUGAGACUGAUUAUUGCUAAACAGAUUGAGGUUGGAGGAGCAGAGAGGAGAAGGAGCAUUGGUCCCAUUUUGCAUAAAUUUGAUAGGCUGUUGAAUGAAAUAUCAGAGUUGAAGUUUCCCUCAUUAAGCGCGAAGCUAAUAGAGCGGCUGAUUGGAUGGCUAAGGCUUCUCAAAAGGGGAUGUGCAACAAUGGUUGGACUUGACAACCACCAUCUUCUUUGGUGUUCAUUCUGGACAAGGACGAAUUUCCUACUCCCCCUUCGAACUGAUAUUCAAGCUAGUUUUACAGUGAGGUAGCUGUGGCUCUCUUGUACUUGUGAGUCAAAUUUUUUACCACAACUUUUUGUAUUUUCUGAUAUAAUGAAAGUUUUGAUGUUUUUAUGGCAGAAAAAAAAAAAAAACUAAUUUGUAAGCUUAGAAAUAUCUCACUUCAUUACAAAGUGAAAAUAAAAUAAAGCCAAAACUAUAAGAUGUAUAUAUAUAAAAAAUAAAGGGAGAAUAUUUAAUGUAUAGGUAGGGGUUAGUGUUCAAUUGAAUCUAGUAAAAAUAUUUCAAGUUAAUCAAGUUGAUAAAUCCUAUUUUAUCAUUCUAAUUCGAUUAUUAAAUUUUUUCGAAUUGAAUUGAGUGAAAUGAAAUUCGAGCCAAGUCGAAUCGAAUCGAGUGAAAUUGUUCAGUUAAAUUAAAAAAUUAAAUAUAUCAAAUUAAAAUCUUGUUACAGUAUAAUUAAUUUAAUGUUAGAACACCUAAAAUUGAAACUAUAUAUAUUUGAAAACCUUUUCAAAGCAUAAUAAUAAUAAUAAUAAUAAUAAUAAUAAUAAUAAUAAUAAUAAUAAUAAUAAUAAUAAGAUACUUUAGUAUUAAAAACAUGAAUAAUUAAUUAACUUAUUUAUGUUUCCAAAUUUAUUAUUUUAAAAAUUUAAAUUUAACUUUCUUUAUAUAAUUUUAAAUUUUAUUUUUUAAAAAUAUAAAUUUUAUAAUUUUAUAAAUAUUUUGAAUUUUAAAAAUUGUUUUGAAUUUUUUUUUUGUUGAGAGAGAUCAAUUUGCUCCUUUUCAAAAUUGACACGGAUUAAAGGGGUAUUUACACCAAUCUAUUAUUUGAGUUGUAAAAUUCAACUCGACUCGAACUCGAAUAACUUAAAAUUCAAUUUUUUUAAUUUUUUUCAAAUUGAAUCGAGUUUUGUUCACCCCUAACCGUAUGUGCAUAUAUUUUAUAUACCAUCAAGUGAUAAUCAAAUGACACAUUAUUACUAGUGUAAAAUAAAAAUUAUUGAAGGGUUUAAAAAUAGUAGACAUUGGUGAACAUUUUCAUAAUGUUCUUAUUAUUCAUUAGUAUUGUUGUUUGAGGUUUGAUCAAACUCUUGAGAUUGGUUAGAGGUAAAGCUUGCAGAAGAAUUGGUUCUUUAGGGAAAGGAAACAUAAUUUAAUUUUCUUAUUUCCUACAAGCGGGUUCUAUUAUGAGAAUUUCUGAAUUACUAUCAUUGCCUAUCAUUCUGCCACCAAUUUGACAUUAGAAAUGAAAUUUCUCUUAAAAAACAUGUUUCCAUAUAAAAUAAAAAAAUAGAAGAAAGAAUAUUUCAGAAUAUUAUAAAGAAAACCAAAGUAUAGGAAAUACAGUAAAUAAAAGAAAAUACAAAAAUUGAAAAAAAUAGAUAAAUGAUAAAAUGUUAUAGAUGUGAAAAAUCAUGACACAUGUCAAAAUCCCUAAUGCAAAAAUUGUAUUAAAGAUAUCAAAUAUCAAACAUAUUUUGUAAUGAUAAAAGAUAUUACCCAAGACAUUAUAUUAGGAACCCCUUUAUAUCUUUACUCAAACCUUACAAAGUAACAAAUCACAAAGUUAAAAAUCUUAACUUAUUAACAUUUUUAUUCAUUACAAAUCAAUAAUUUAAUUAAUCAUAAAUAGAACAAUUUUUUUUAAAGAAGAAAUAUGUUUUUUUAAAAAAUUAAAUGAAAAAUUAGAAAAAAAACAGAAGUUCAAAGGAGAAUAAAUCAAAUCAAAGAAGAAAUCGAGUCAACAAUAUGCUCUGACAUCUCUAAUGCCUUUUGGAAUAGGAAAAAACAUGAAGUAACAUUACCAUAUGAAAAUGAUUUUGUUGAAAGACAAAUCCUAACAAAAGUAAAGCCAAUAAAAAUGAAUAAAGAGAUGGAAACUUUUGUUAAAAAGAAAGACAAGAUUUUCUCAAUAAAAAAUUAAUAAAAAAAGUAACUUUUCUUACAGUUGUUCAGCAUUUUAUGUGAUGAAAAAUGCAGAACUUGAAAGAGGAACACUAGUAUUAGUCAUUAAUUAUAAACCUCUCAAUCAAUGUAGAAAGGAAUUAUUAUUACUAACAUAAAAAAAAAAUCAAAUUCAAAACUUGACACCCAAAAAAAUUUGGAAUCUAAAAUCCGAAAGAUCAAUAAAAAUUAUAGCUAAUAUUUAAUUAUGUUUAACUAAAAAAUAAAGUUAAAUGUAUUUAUUUUCAAGUCUUUCAAUACUUUUUAUUUUAUACCAAUAAUGAUCUUUCAUAUUAUUAACUGAUGGUGCAUGAAACCUAAACACUGACAAUGCAUCAAAUAUUAUCUCAUAUAUAAAGUUAACAACUAUAUAUUGAAUUCAUGGUUGAAUAAGAAUAUAAAAUUAGGAGACAGAUCCCUAUUUUUUGUAGAGGUAACUUCAAUGUUGAAAUUGUUACUUAUAUGUUUCUACGUGUUUUUUUUUUCAUAAUAAUUUAUUUGACCUUUCAACUUUACAAAAAGAAAUCAUUUUAAGUUUCUACUUAAAUUUUUGUUUCUUUUAUCUUUUAAACUUGUAUUGUUUGUUAACGUCAAUCCACGUGAACUGACACGUAUUUACUACAUUAGCAAUUGAUUAAUUUUUAAAAGAUUAAAAAUAUAUUAUAUACCUUUUUAAUAAUUUUAAAUUUUUAAAAUUUGAAAGAUUAAUUAAUUGUUGAUAUGUCAGUCACGUUUGUGUGAUAUCAGUAAAAUUAACAAAUAUUAACUUUUAUUUUAUUUUAGUAUAAAUUUAAAGAUUAAAAAGGGAAGAAAAAUUAAAUAAAAAAUAUUAUUAUGCGUUUGAGAUAAAUGAUGAGGCAAAGUACAACAAAGGAGUAACAUCAGACAAAGCCAAACACCAGAAUCACAUCAGAAGAGUGCAGAAGAACCUCUAGUGGUGCAAUCAAUUAUCAAUUAGAUAGCCGUGUUUAUUAGUUAAUAUAUUAAUGUAAAAACAAAACUUUCCAUUCAAGCAUAUUUUUUAAUAUAACAAAAUUCAGCUCCAUACUAAAAGUCUCAUUGCUUUAAUACCUUAUCCUUUCAGGAUCUCAAAUACAAAGUUUUAUUCCCUUUUUUUCCAACAAAAAUUUAUGCCUAAUACACAAAUCACUAUUUUUUCAAAGGGAUUCAAAGUUUAAUGAAAAAAUGGGUUGAUGUUACAUUUAAAGUUAUUUAAUUAUUAAUACGAAUACAGUAUCAAUAUAAAAAAUAUUUCAAACAUAUUAUUAACAUCUCAAAAUUUAAUAUGAAUUUCAUGUGAUAGCUUGAUGGUUAAGGGUGUUCAUCAUUCCAGUUGUUACCUGAGUUUAAGUCACACUAGUUAUAUGUAUACUUAUGCUUUGGUGACUAUUAGGUUACCAGGAUAAUGAUGUACAUGGAGUUUUGUAAGUACUAGCAACUGACACUAGUUAGUAAAAGAAAAUUAUUUCAAUAAUUCUUAAAAAUAUAUAAUUAAGAUUCAAGUAUAUUUUGGAAAUUUUUAAUUUAGAGAUGACUUUUAUGUACUAAUUUUUUUUAUGUAAUACAUCCGUUGAAAUUAUUUAUUUAAUUAUGUGAUGUGAGUUUAGUUUUAGUCCCCAACAAUUAUAUUUUAAAUACACUAAAUUAUUAGUAAAUUUAUGUUUUAGUUAUUUAAUUUUAAAAAAUUACAAAAUGGUCAUUGAACUAUUUGAAAGUUUUUAUUGAAGUCAUUAGGCUAUUAAGGUUUUACUUUAAAGUCUUGCUAGCAAGCUUCAAGCAAUGAUUCGAUCCAAGUCGAUUUGACUAUCAAUGUCAAUGAUGGGAGAAAAAUUUUGUUUGAAUUUUGGUUCGCAGAUUCAUGAGUUUAAAAGUUAUUUCUUGAAAAAAAGGUGAAUUGUAGAAGAGAAAGGGAAUGAGAGCUUUCGAUAGAUACAGGUGGUGCAAAUAGAGAAGGCCAUACAAUAAUUUUAAUAGCUCAGUGACUUAAAUGAAAAUUUUUGAAUAGUUUAAUGAUCAAUUUGUAACUUUUUUUUUUAAAUUGAGUAACGAAACAUAAACUUACUAAUAGUUUAGAUCACAAUGGAAGUAGUUUACCUUUAUAUUGUUAAUUUAUUAUACAAAAUUUAUUUAAUUUAAAAAUAAUACUUUAUCAAAAAAAUCCAAAUAGGUUAAAAAUAUUUCUUUAAUUGAAAAGAAUUUGUACUUAGAAGUGAAAAGACACAUCAAGAAUAUGAAUAAAGAAAAGGAAAAGGAAUAUAAAAAAGUUUUGAUGUGAAUGAAGUCUACUAAUUUCAUGCGCAUAAACGUCCUUAUUAUGGACAAUGCAUGCAUGGUGUAAACUAGUAUAUAAGUAGGUGUGUAUUGCAAUAUUUGAAGCAUAACACAACCAAAACAAGCUUUAGCUAACCAAAGCACAUACAAAGCUACCAUGGCUAAUUUUCAAAUGAAAAAAGUUCAACAAUGCACACACGGCAAGCUGUGGAACUCUUCCAGCGAAGCUCUAACCUUGACCGACAAGAAAGUUUGGCAAGGCUCUCAUUAUGCGGAUUUCCCAGAAAUAAUUGAAGAUGGGGAUGCGAGUGAGUUUACACAUGAAUCAGUGACUGAUGAUGCUGAUAUUCAUGGUUCAGUUGCUGGUCUUGUGUACAGGCGACGUGAUGGAACUAAGUGGAUUGUUGCCUGGAGCAACCCACAAGCUGAGAACAGCAAGGUAUAUAUUGCAUUCAAUUCAAUCUUACCAUUAAUUAACUAAUUAGAAUGUGUAUAAAUAAUCAUUUAAUUUAUGAUUCAUUUCAUGCAUGUUGCAGGUCUAUACUGAUAUCCAGAGACAACCUGUUCAC
This 15901-nucleotide long non-coding RNA is filed under the name Gossypium raimondii (Peruvian cotton). RNAcentral's name for it is "long non-coding RNA (GRAI_LNC007534)". The record is from RNAcentral. Lineage: Eukaryota; Viridiplantae; Streptophyta; Magnoliopsida; Malvales; Malvaceae.